ACUCCUACGGGAGGCAGCAGUGGGAAUAUUGCGCAAUGGGCGGAAGCCUGACGCAGCGACGCCGCGUGGGGAUGGACGGCCUCGGGCUUGUAAAACCUCUUUCGCCAGGGACGAAGCUUUUGUGACGGUACCUGGAGAAGAAGCACCGGCCAACUACGUGCCAGCAGCCGCGGUAACACGUAGGGUGCGAGCGUUAAUCGGAAUUACUGGGCGUAAAGCGCGUGUAGGUGGCUUGUUAAGCCAGAUGUGAAAGCCCGGCU
Molecule: ribosomal RNA, 260 nt
Filed under: uncultured bacterium
Lineage: Bacteria
Description: partial 16S ribosomal RNA
Rfam family: Bacterial small subunit ribosomal RNA
Source: RNAcentral